UACAGAGGUCCCGAGCGUUGUUCGGAUUCACUGGGCGUAAAGGGUGCGUAGGUGGUGGGGUAAGUCUGAUGUGAAAUCUCUGAGCUCAACUCAGAAAUUGCAUUAGAAACUACCUUGCUAGAGGAUUGGAGGGGGGACUGGAAUUCUCGGUGUAGCAGUGAAAUGCGUAGAUAUCGAGAGGAACACCAGUGGCGAAGGCGAGUCCCUGGACAAUACCUGACACUGAGGCACGAAAGCUAGGAGAGCAAACGGG
Molecule: ribosomal RNA, 253 nt
Filed under: uncultured bacterium
Lineage: Bacteria
Description: partial 16S ribosomal RNA
Rfam family: Bacterial small subunit ribosomal RNA
Source: RNAcentral